This 450-nucleotide ribosomal RNA is filed under the name Roseobacter sp. SCB48. RNAcentral describes it as "bacterial SSU rRNA". It matches the Rfam family "Bacterial small subunit ribosomal RNA", at positions 12 to 508 of the family's 1533-position model. Lineage: Bacteria; Pseudomonadati; Pseudomonadota; Alphaproteobacteria; Rhodobacterales; Roseobacteraceae. The record is from RNAcentral.
UUUGAUCAUGGCUCAGAACGAACGCUGGCGGCAGGCUUAACACAUGCAAGUCGAGCGCACUCUUCGGAGUGAGCGGCGGACGGGUUAGUAACGCGUGGGAACGUACCCAGAUCUAAGGAAUAGCCACUGGAAACGGUGAGUAAUACCUUAUACGCCCUUCGGGGGAAAGAUUUAUCGGAUUNGGAUCGGCCCGCGUNAGAUNAGAUAGUUGGUGGGGUAANGNCNUACCAAGUAUAGGAUNAAUAGCUGGUUUUAGAGGAUGAUCAGCAACACUGGGAUUGAGACACGGCCCAGACUCCUACGGGAGGCAGCAGUGGGGAAUCUUGGACAAUGGGCGCAAGCCUGAUCCAGCCAUGCCGCGUGAGUGAUGAAGGCCUUAGGGUCGUAAAGCUCUUUCGCCAGGGAUGAUAAUGACAGUACCUGGUAAAGAAACCCCGGCUAACUCCGUGC